GCCGAGGUGGUGGAAUUGGGAGACACGCUGUCUUGAGGGGGCAGUGGGCGUGAGCCCGUGCGGGUUCGAAUCCCGCCCUCGGCACCA
RNAcentral lists this transfer RNA (87 nucleotides) under Thermodesulfatator sp. RNAcentral describes it as "tRNA-Leu". It matches the Rfam family "tRNA". Rfam says of the family: Transfer RNA (tRNA) molecules are approximately 80 nucleotides in length. Their secondary structure includes four short double-helical elements and three loops (D, anti-codon, and T loops). The record is from RNAcentral. Lineage: Bacteria; Pseudomonadati; Thermodesulfobacteriota; Thermodesulfobacteria; Thermodesulfobacteriales; Thermodesulfatatoraceae. RNAcentral also lists the same sequence under 1 other name.